This 450-nucleotide ribosomal RNA is filed under the name uncultured bacterium. RNAcentral's name for it is "partial 16S ribosomal RNA". It matches the Rfam family "Bacterial small subunit ribosomal RNA", at positions 354 to 796 of the family's 1533-position model. The record is from RNAcentral.
GUGGGGAAUUUUGGACAAUGGGCGAAAGCCUGAUCCAGCCAUGCCGCGUGCAGGAUGAAGGCCUUCGGGUUGUAAACUGCUUUUGUACGGAACGAAAAGACUCCUUCUAAUAAAGGGGGUCCAUGACGGUACCGUAAGAAUAAGCACCGGCUAACUACGUGCCAGCAGCCGCGGUAAUACGUAGGGUGCAAGCGUUAAUCGGAAUUACUGGGCGUAAAGCGUGCGCAGGCGGUUAUAUAAGACAGAUGUGAAAUACCCGGGCUCAACCUGGGAACUGCAUGUGUGACUGUAUAGCUAGAGUACGGUAGAGGGGGAUGGAAUUCCGCGUGUAGCAGUGAAAUGCGUAGAUAUGCGGAGGAACACCGAUGGCGAAGGCAAUCCCCUGGACCUGUACUGACGCUCAUGCACGAAAGCGUGGGGAGCAAACAGGAUUAGAAACCCCGGUAGUCC